RNAcentral lists this transfer RNA (65 nucleotides) under Anelytra multicurvata. Its description in RNAcentral is "tRNA-Leu". The record is from RNAcentral. Lineage: Eukaryota; Metazoa; Arthropoda; Insecta; Orthoptera; Tettigoniidae.
ACUAUUUUGGCAGAAAAGUGCCUUGAAUUUAGAAUUCAAAAAUGUAAUAUGUAUUACAGAUAGUA